GGCGGACGGGUGAGGAAUACAUCGGAAUCUACUCUGUCGUGGGGGAUAACGUAGGGAAACUUACGCUAAUACCGCAUACGACCUACGGGUGAAAGCAGGGGAUCUUCGGACCUUGCGCGAUUGAAUGAGCCGAUGUCGGAUUAGCUAGUUGGCGGGGUAAAGGCCCACCAAGGCGACGAUCCGUAGCUGGUCUGAGAGGAUGAUCAGUCACACUGGAACUGAGACACGGUCCAGACUCCUACGGGAGGCAGCAGCC
Molecule: ribosomal RNA, 256 nt
Filed under: uncultured Stenotrophomonas sp.
Lineage: Bacteria; Pseudomonadati; Pseudomonadota; Gammaproteobacteria; Lysobacterales; Lysobacteraceae
Description: partial 16S ribosomal RNA
Rfam family: Bacterial small subunit ribosomal RNA
Source: RNAcentral